This 661-nucleotide ribosomal RNA is filed under the name uncultured Bacteroidales bacterium. RNAcentral's name for it is "bacterial SSU rRNA". It matches the Rfam family "Bacterial small subunit ribosomal RNA", at positions 76 to 735 of the family's 1533-position model. The record is from RNAcentral. Lineage: Bacteria; Pseudomonadati; Bacteroidota; Bacteroidia; Bacteroidales.
AGCAAUAUCUAUGGUGGCGACCGGCGCACGGGUGCGUAACGCGUAUGCAACCUACCUUUAACAGGGGGAUAACACUGAGAAAUUGGUACUAAUACCCCAUAAUAUCAUAGAAGGCAUCUUUUAUGGUUGAAAAUUCCGAUGGUUAGAGAUGGGCAUGCGUUGUAUUAGCUAGUUGGUGGGGUAACGGCUCACCAAGGCGACGAUACAUAGGGGGACUGAGAGGUUAACCCCCCACACUGGUACUGAGACACGGACCAGACUCCUACGGGAGGCAGCAGUGAGGAAUAUUGGUCAAUGGACGCAAGUCUGAACCAGCCAUGCCGCGUGCAGGAUGACGGCUCUAUGAGUUGUAAACUGCUUUUGUACGAGGGUAAACGCAGAUACGUGUAUCUGUCUGAAAGUAUCGUACGAAUAAGGAUCGGCUAACUCCGUGCCAGCAGCCGCGGUAAUACGGAGGAUUCAAGCGUUAUCCGGAUUUAUUGGGUUUAAAGGAUGCGUAGGCGGUUUGAUAAGUUAGAGGUGAAAUUUCGGGGCUCAACCCUGAACGUGCCUCUAAUACUGUUGAGCUAGAGAGUAGUUGCGGUAGGCGGAAUGUAUGGUGUAGCGGUGAAAUGCUUAGAGAUCAUACAGAACACCGAUUGCGAAGGCAGCUUACCAAACU